This 72-nucleotide transfer RNA is filed under the name Verrucomicrobiota bacterium. RNAcentral describes it as "tRNA-Val". It matches the Rfam family "tRNA". From Rfam's summary of the family: Transfer RNA (tRNA) molecules are approximately 80 nucleotides in length. Their secondary structure includes four short double-helical elements and three loops (D, anti-codon, and T loops). Further hydrogen bonds mediate the characteristic L-shaped molecular structure. tRNAs have two regions of fundamental functional importance: the anti-codon, which is responsible for specific mRNA codon recognition, and the 3' end, to which the tRNAs corresponding amino acid is attached (by aminoacyl-tRNA synthetases). tRNAs cope with the degeneracy of the genetic code in two manners: having more than one tRNA (with a specific anti-codon) for a particular amino acid; and 'wobble' base-pairing, i.e. permitting non-standard base-pairing at the 3rd anti-codon position. The record is from RNAcentral. Lineage: Bacteria; Pseudomonadati; Verrucomicrobiota. RNAcentral also lists the same sequence under 1 other name.
GGGCCGUUAACUCAGUGGAAGAGUGCUAUCCUCACACGGUAGAAGUCGCAGGUUCAAGCCCUGCACGGCCCA